UCUUUUUCCAUGCACAAAUAGUGUCCAUCCUCCACACUCUGUGUCUCCUAUCUCCUCCAACCCGCCCCAGCUCGGUUGGGGCUCGCCCGAUCCCAUCCGGGCAUGAGCAGGCCCGCACGCCGCCGUUGCCUGUCCUCGAGCGCCAGAUCGGGAAGGAGCUCCGAUCCAUGUUGCCCGUCGUCGACCGCCAGACCACAUCAUGUUGCUCGGAUGCUCGCCGCCGCAGGCGCGUGCCACUGUAUUGCCUCCCGCGCUAGUCCCAUCUCAGGCCGAUGCCUACUCUGCAACAAGGAGCUCACCCAAGCACCGCUGUUGCGUGUUGCCUUCGUUGGCCAUCGGAUCUAGCACGCCGCCGCAAGCCCCAAUCCGGAUCCAGCCUCUCCCACCGCUAGCCUCGCCCUUCUCCAACCUCCGGCGAGCUACCGCUUGCUGCGUCGGUGCCAGCCGCCUGUGCCGCCUACCCUCAAUCCUCAUCACAUCAGAGAGGUAGGUUGGGCGCUCCCGCUGCUUACGUGGUCCUACUGGGUAAGGCCAGGCCCAAUCGCCCUGAUGCACCCUGCCCGAGGCCUAGCUACAACUCGGCCUGCCUUCGUCAUCCCAGCUGGGCCAAAGAUCCACGAGUUUUUCUUCUUCUCUAUAGUGUUUUGGAACCGAUUCAGAGUGUGAAGAUUCCUUCGACUACGCCCGUUCGUCUACUUCACCGUUUCGUUCUUCUUCCAUGCAGGAUCUCACGCAAGCUGAUCAUUUCCCUAGAUACGAUUACUAUCAUUGCCAUGUUAAUUCUCUCAUUUCUAUCGCUAUGUCUUGCUUCCUACCACUUGUUUGUCAAGCCUCCCAAAAUUCCAUGAUAAGCCUCGAAGCCUCCACAUCCCAGCAAACCAGUGUUUGGCUAUGUUACCGCUUGCUUAGCCCUUCUUAUAGCAUUGUUAGUUGGAGGUGCAGGUUGUUCCAUGUGAUAACAUGGAUAUCUUGGGAUGUCAGAAUAUUAUUGGUAUUUAAUUUAAUGUCCAUAUAUAUUUUGUAAAA
Molecule: long non-coding RNA, 1026 nt
Organism: Hordeum vulgare subsp. vulgare (domesticated barley)
Lineage: Eukaryota; Viridiplantae; Streptophyta; Magnoliopsida; Poales; Poaceae
Exons: 2
Source: RefSeq, a predicted model, not a curated record